Molecule: long non-coding RNA, 954 nt
Organism: Daucus carota subsp. sativus
Lineage: Eukaryota; Viridiplantae; Streptophyta; Magnoliopsida; Apiales; Apiaceae
Exons: 3
Source: RefSeq, a predicted model, not a curated record
CCUGUUUGGUAAUCUUGAUUUGAUUUCAAAUCAUGUAUUUGUCCAAAUCCACUUUUUGGCAAACUUUAUAAUAUUUGGAUUUGGAUUUGUCCAAUUCCAUCAAAUUAAAACAAAAGCCAAAAUUAAAUAAUUUGAAAUGCCACUCAGACAUGUCAUUUGAAAUUAGAAAAACAGAACACCCAGCAGCAGCUCCUUCACUCUACGCUCUCGCUCCGGUCCUCUUUUCUCCCGUCAUCGGUCCUCUUCGAUCUCUCCCGUCAUCCUCCGGUCUCGUACCUUCAUAUCAAGAGUAAAAUACACUUUCGGAUUCAAUCCCACCAGAGCUAGGAAACCUCAAAAAUCUGCAGUAUGCAGAUUUUGGAAACAAUUCAUUUAGUGGAAGCAUUCCAGAUAGUUUAACCAACUGCACCUCGUUGUUAGAAAUUGCCUUCAUUUUCAACAAUCUCGCCGGUGAAAUCCCAUUUAAUAUCGGUGGUUCCAGUGAUCUUCAAGCUGAGUUUUGGUCCAGAGAGCGAAAGGGUGGCGUUGAUAGAGCAUCUAGCGGAAGGAUCGGUGCUGGAGGAGGCUUUCAAGACAUGUAGCAAAGGGAAGAGCUACUUCGGGGAGAUAACAUUGGUUACACUGAUAUUGCUCUUGGAAGCUUCAUUGGAUGGAUCAAGGCAAUCGAGAAAAUGAGUGGCAUCAAGGUUCUGGCUGAGAAAUUUGUCGAAUGAUGCUGCUAAGAAAUUUGUUCAGGAGCCUGAAGUGUAUGUUGAGCUUCUUAAGAAGAUGCAGGCUUGAGCCUGAGCUGCAUAAAGGAACUGAGGGUGUGUCUGUUUGAUCCAAGAAGUGACUUGUGUUUUCCGGCAAGUUUAUGUAGUAUUAAAAUCAUAAGAUAAAUAAAGAUCGCUUGUAAUAUUUGAAUUAUAAGUGUGAAGUACAUGUUAUAAUAAAGUAUUUACUCAUUUUAUCUUA